Herpailurus yagouaroundi (jaguarundi) is the source of this 6149-nucleotide long non-coding RNA. RefSeq lists it as uncharacterized. Lineage: Eukaryota; Metazoa; Chordata; Mammalia; Carnivora; Felidae. The record is from RefSeq and is a predicted model, not a curated record. The transcript is spliced from 2 exons.
UGUUUUUUUAAUGUGCCCUUGUCUUGCCUAUUUUUCUUACUCCCCGACCUUAGAGAACACGUCUUAAUAAUUUUAAAAACCAUAUUUAGUGCCCUAAACAUAUAAAUGUUUCAUUUAUGUGGUACUGAACUAAAUUUUGGAAAAAUGUAAACAAAAUAAAUGUGUAUGUAUGUAUGUAUGUGUGUAUAUCUGUAGUUUUUAAUGAUGUGUAAUAUCAUAUGCAUUAUGGGAAAUAGUUAUUUCUUUAUAAAAAUUCAUACAAAGGUAUAAAGUAUGAACUAUGAAGUAUGAACUAUGUAUAAAGUAUGAACUAUGAAUAUGAACUACUUCAUAUCUUGUAUGAAGUAAGCAUGCAAUGCCAGCUCUUUGAAUAUUGGACAAAAAAAAUAUUAUGGUGGAUAAGACACUAUUCUACAAAGUAUGUUAUUGCUCUAUAUGAAUAUAUAAACCAAGAUGACUUUGGGUUCUGGCUCACAGUUCAUAAAAGAGACAACUAACUGACCCCUCUGCUUCUGAUGGAAAACCAGCGAAUGAAGGAAAAAUCCCAAACUAAGGCUUUUUGUAGUAUAAGGAGGUUAAACAAAAACCUGACUACUUUCUGUCAAUCCAAUGCUACUUUUUCUCAGCCCUGUAUGAGUGUUUCUGAUCAUUGCUUUGUAGAAAUUCACUUUGCCCCUCAGUUUGGUAAUUAACCUAAUUAUCUUACAUUAAUUAGCGACCUCUAGCCUCGUCAUUUUCACAGCACUGCUGUAGGUGAGGUCACUGACCCCUUUCCCCAGGUUUCUGCCUACAGAAAUGAAGUUCUAAUUUCUCAGAGGUAUUGGGAAAAUGCCUCUUGCCAUUCUUACUUACCUGAGUGGUGGCAUCAGGAGAAAGAACUGGGUACAUUUAUCAGCAGUUAGAGAUUUUCUUUCUCUGCCGCCUUUCUGUUCCUCGCUAAGAUGUCCACUCCUGGGUGCACCUACCUGCAGCCUGCAGGGGUGCUUAAAUAUGCUGGAGGGAGGGCAGCGGGAAGCUAUUACUAUUCCUGUCUGAUCAACCACCUUCCCGCCGCAUCACUGUGUCCUGCGAAACUAAAUUAUGUCGUAUUUUCAGCCUUCAAGAUUCACGCAUUUGCUGUCUGACGAUGGUGCACCUUUUGUCACAAAGGCCACCCAGCAUUGAUUCAACCAUUCAAGAACCGACCUGGAAGCUUUUUCACAAAGGAAAACAUCCCAGCGCAUCUUUCACAAAAGACAACAAGCUGCUUAUUAAAUGACUCCUAGACCUGCCAUGUCCCACCAAAUGGUGGUGACCAUGACUUGAUAUUUAGUCUCUACAACUUGACUGAGAAGUCAAUCAGAAACAUUAGCGAGUGAUCCCAGAUGCUGCAGGUCCCACACAAAAUGCCUGUCAACACCUCUAAAUGUCUUUCCACCUCUAUUCCCAUCUUCACCACCGGGUCAUGACGGGGGAUAGAAGAAUGCCACCCAGCAGGGUGACAAAUACUAUAUGUCAGUGUGACUGCCGUCAUGUAAUCUCUCCAAAGACACAGCUGAACCAGAUUUGGGAAAACUAAUAUUUACCAGCUGGCCAGGAGGGCACUUUGGAGACUGUUAACCUGUGUCCCCUGACUGAUGUAGGUCAUAUCUGUAGCGAACAACAACUACAAUACUCUCCUUCCAGGGGCACCUGUGUGCCCCUGGGACUGAACUACUUCUGGGGAAGCUACAUAUUAACUUGCAUGAACUUGCCCCAGUGUGCACCUAAGGAGUGAUCAAAAGAGCUCUUCAAAUGUUUAAGAAAACACCACCAGCAGAUCCUGUGGCUCCCAGGUGACUGUGAAGAUCUCUCUGGAAUAGGGUACUCUAAGCUACUUGGGGAGUUCCCAGAAGGGAUAAAUCCCUGUGUGUGCAUUCAUUGGGUGGUUAUCCCAACAAUGGGAGCCAUCCAGUCAGAACAGGUAGUAAAAGAAUGUGUCUCUGGACCUCAGCUGAAAUGAUCAAUGAUACCAUUUUGGACACAGAAGGCAUUCAGGUCAGCUUCAACUCACUGGCCAGAACUGCUAUGGAAAACAGUAUUGUCCUACAUAUCCCUCUCUCAAGACCAAAGUGAAACCUGUGCAGUCACUUCGACGUUGCUAUACCUGGAUUAAUGCCUCUGAAAAAGUGCAAAGGUCAGCACAGAUGCUUAAAGAGGAAGUCAUGUGUCCUAAAGUACAUACCUUUAUGUUUUGGGGGUUUCUUCAGCCUGCUUAGUCUGGGACCCUGGGGGUCAGGAUUGAGGUCAGUACUGCAGGCUGGCUCCAUCCUGCCACUUACAGAAUUGUUGACAGAAGCUUUAAUUAAAUGUUGCAUGAGACAAAUUGAACAAAUACAGGUCUACUCUCUACUGAUACAAUUAAUCAGAAUGGCCCACCCAGUGGCACUCUCAUGUGAAAAUUUGAUCUCGGCUAAGGCUGUGUAGGGCUAAGAGGUGGUUUUGGGGAGAGGCAGUCUGCCAGGGCUCUGAGCAUCCCUGCAUAUUCUUGCUGAGUGAGCCAAACUGGAAAGCUUACCCGUCUCCUGAUACUGAGCAGUUUUUCUAGCUUGUCACAUAAGCAAUUGAGUAGGCCAAGUCCACUAGAGUGUGACAGCCAUGUAACUGCAUGCUUUUCUGUGUAAGGGGAAUCUGUUUUUUGCCAUUUGCUAUAAUGUUUGCUGCUUGCUCAAAACAUGAUUUGGCCCUGGGUCCUUCAGUUGUGAAACAAACCCACUGCAUAUGGGCCCACUGCAUGGCCUCAAUGGGACUUGGGAGGCAAGGGGGACAGGCAAAUAUGUUGAUGUUCAUGCUUCUUGCUGUGCCAAGAAUAAUAAAGUUCUUUGUCUCUGACCCAGGCGUCUUGAGUCUUCUGCCAGAACUCAUGUGAUGGUGGCUGGCUCACUUGUUGGCUCGCAAGUAGGGGAAAAUCAAAUCUUAGGAUCUCUAAAGUUCCUGAGAGAAAUAACAUGAAUUCGGAAUGGGACAGAACUGUUUUCUAUUUAAGCAUCUCUUAAUCACCUUCCAAUUUUUUUUUUAAUAUAUCCUUUCAAUUAAUAAAAGGCACAUUACCUAGAAAACAGCUGGAGUAGGAUUUGAACUAGGCAAUAUGGAUGCAGAACAUGUUUUUAUUCUCCUAUACUUCUCUAUAUGCUGAUGUGGUUUAAAAGCAUUGGAACAUUUGCAUUUUAUUUAGUAAAUUUCCCAUGUCUCUUUUACGUGAUUCUGUUUGUAACACAUUAACCAACAAAUUUUUCAAAGCCCUAGUCUCUAAAUUGGUAAUCACUUUAAACGUGACAAAUCUUUAAUUUUCUUUAAUUUGUGUAUGAUACAUAAACAUUUUCAAAAUAAAUUGAUUGUAACAUGCCCAUGUUUCACACCAUCACUAUCAUUUGAAUAUAACAAGCAGUUACGAGGUUGAUUGAAUAUCAAUUAAAACAUAAUUUAAACCUAGUUAUAUCAUGGCCCUUUAGUUGAAAAAUUCCAGAAAUCUAGAUGCCAAGAAUUUACAAAGUAAAAAUAUAAUCUUAGUUACCUUGUUCCAAUUUGUAAUUCAUGGGAUGUGCCCACUUUGAAAUGAUCCCUGUACUACUAUUUACAAAUUAACCAAGAAAAGGAAAAGACAGAUUUUAAAUCAUUUCAACAUGUUACUCAAAUGUUUUCUGAAACAGAAAAAAAAAAAAAAAAAAGACUCACAGACACUCUAUGUAUGAGUACAGAAAAGUCACGUUCACCAGAUCUCUACUUCAUCUUAGUCCAAGGCUGUUCUGCUCCUCAAAUGUCUGCUCUGAUCCAGCCACUUACACCAUUCCAGCAAUGGAGCCACCUCAGGCUCAGGGCACCAAACACAAGAAGGAUAUCCUGCCCCGAAUUCCCAUCACUUCCUUUCAGCCCCUGCUUAGUCUGGUAGGACAGGAUUUUUACAGAAUACUGCACAUUCACCUCAAUUUUUAAAAUCAUUCACCAGUUAAAGACAAUUUUAAAUUUUAAUUCUUAUCCUCAUCUUGAAAAACUGAUUUGGCAAUGAGCUUUUGGGACAUAAUCCAUUUGUAACUUGGGGAUUUCCUAGAAUUUUACAUUAAAAUAUAGAAAAACUCAAACAAUGUAACAAUGGAAAAUUGAUAAUGUGUAAAUCCUUUAUAUUAUAGACUAUUAUGUACAAUGUUUAAUGAGGUUAGGAACAUGUCAAACAUUGGUAAAUAUUUCUCAAGUUGGGACUAUGGCUUCAAGUCAAAGUGACCCAGAUUUCAACUUCAAUGCUAUUACUUUUUAGUAUGUGGACAUGAAUAAAUUCCUUAACUCCCUUUGUUUUGGGUUAUUCAUCAAUAAAAUGGGGCUAACACCUUGUUUACAGGAUUGAAUGCUAUGUAAAUGGCAUCAUACCUGGCACUUGCCACAUCGGGUGAGGUGAAUCCUAGCUAUUAUUAUCUGAUGAGAGAUUCAGAAGAAAAUUAAUCAUGAGAAUAUGGGAGAAUAUGGUUUCUCCUUCAUUCUUACUCAUUUGACUACUUUGUAACAUUACCAUAAUGUGAAAUAUUUGCUAGACAAUUGGGAAACAACAUUUCUGCAAAUGUGGACAAUGGAAAAAAAAUUAAGAAAACUCUGUGUGACUCACAAGCAAAGCAAGUGACAUAGUAUCAGAAAUAGCUCUACAGUAAAUUCACUUGAUUAGAUUUUAACUACAUCUGGACUUUUCAGUUAAUUUGAAACCCUCAUAACUGUUUCUUUAGAGGUAUUUCACAAGCCUGUACCCCUGGAUGCAGUCUUUACUAAUCUUUUGUGCCCCAUGCUGUGCUGUGCUAUUUUUCAUGUGUUAACUUUCAUGGCGUCUGAAAAACUACCCUUUAGAGUAGGUUUUAUUUUUACUAUUUUAUAAAUAAAACCAAUGCUUAAAAAAAUUAAGCUAUCUUGAGAAAAAUCAUAGCUACUAAAAUUCUAGGCUUCCAGGUUUUGAAACAGCCCCUCCAAACCCUGAAAUAUUUCUUAGAAACAUAAAGGCUUUUAAAAAAUAAGCUUGAAUACCUUAAUAUAGAAUGCAUUUUAAUACUAAUUAGAUACUAUCACAACUCUUAGAUUUCAUAACCUUUCCUGCACUCUUUUUAAAUUUUUUCUUGUGUUCAAAAAUAAUAAAGUAGCAAUUUUCUGUAGCAGGAACACCAUUAUUAUUCACCUACAAUGUAAUCAACAUUAUUUACUCACUUUUUAUUACACUCCAGCUCAAAUUCAGUAUUAAUCUUGACUACAUUUCAUUUCCAUGUCACAACAUAUCUUUAUUUUUAUAGAUAGCUUGUUAAUGAGAUGUUUUAAUUAACGGUUUCAUUCUGAUUUCAAAUCUUUGACAAAGAAAACAAUGUCAGCUAACCCCACGUAUAAGUAUGUAUUUUAAUAGCCAGAAUUUAAAUCUUAGAUUUUUGGAAUUAGGAUUAGAGAGAUACAUAAUUUAGCUCAAACUGAAGGAUAAAAUCAUGAUUAGGAACAUGCAAUCUAGGACUUUCUUCGCCCUUCUUUGAAGCUAUUUGCUCAAAAACGCCACGUAGAUACACAACCGCUAAAACUGGCAAUAUUACCUGGAACAACAUUGGAGACACCAGAACCAAGGCGCAGAAGCCACCACUCUGCUGAAGUCCCUCACCCAAGCCACACUGAAUCAUGCCACCCCAGGUGAUGAUUCCUCUUUUGUCUCCAGCAGCACUUUCUAUAUCAUUGUAGACAACUGGGAGACAAGAAGACUAGAAACAGUACAACAGAGGAGCAGUUGUCAAAAAACAAAGAAACGACUCUUUAAAACCCUGGAAAUAUCAGAUGAUGGGUAAAUGGGUAGUAGGUUCUUUUAUCAAAGACACAUAUAAGCAGCUAUCCAUUAUUCCUGACUGAACAACUAUUACAGUCAAAUAGUCAGAACAGGAGAUGAUCCCAAAGGAGCAGCAUAUAGAUCUAAACUACAGGAAUACAUACGAAGAAAAUGGGGAUUAAAAAAGAAGAAGGAGAAAAUGGGGCUAAAGGCUUUUUGUUUUGGUUCUAUUGUGAUUCUAGGUCUAAUACAAAACGAGGAUGGGGGGGGGGCUAGAAAAACUGAGGGAGGUAAACACAAUUCCUUCCCGGUACCCAAAGCAAACAACUGAUGGAUGUGUUCUCUUUUAAAGUUGACUACA